CGGUGGCAGUUCUAGUUCUUAUACCAAAUCAUACACACGAGAUCUAGUCAUAUUUGACUCUAAAAAGGCUAACCAAGCUUCUUAUUGCUUCUCAAAGAUUUGUGAGUGUAGCCGAAGUCCUAUGAGUUUUCAGUUUUGGAGCUUUUAAACGGAGAAAGACUACUUUAGCUUUUGGGAUCCGGUUGCGGUUCUGGUUCUUAUACCAAAUCAUACAAACGAGAUCUAGUCAUAUUUGACUCUAAAAAGGCUAACCAAGCUUCUUAUUGCUUCAUAAAGCUUUGUGGGUGUGGCCAAAGUCC
Molecule: long non-coding RNA, 299 nt
Filed under: Arabidopsis lyrata
Lineage: Eukaryota; Viridiplantae; Streptophyta; Magnoliopsida; Brassicales; Brassicaceae
Description: long non-coding RNA (ALYR_LNC000235)
Source: RNAcentral